Paramormyrops kingsleyae is the source of this 546-nucleotide non-coding RNA. The record is from RefSeq and is a predicted model, not a curated record. Lineage: Eukaryota; Metazoa; Chordata; Actinopteri; Osteoglossiformes; Mormyridae.
AGACCUCACUCACCGAGCUCUUGCUGGGUUAUCUGGAGGAGCUUGAUGAUGAAAAGCUGAAGGAGUUUAAAUUCCGACUGAGUCUCCCAGUGAGUGAAGAGUUAAGGCCCCUUCCCAGGGGUCGCGUGAAGGGCUCGGAUAGAACAGACCUGGCCGAGAGGAUGAUAAGUGCCUACAGUGAAGCUGAUGCUCUCAAUGUCAUGCUUGAAAUCCUGAAGAAGAUGAACUUGAAUGACCUUGCUCAGAGACUGAAUAAAGACCUGAAGACGCGUAACCAAGCAGGAAGUGAGCUGGAUGACAAAUCAGAGCAGAUGUCUGAUGAUCUAGAUCUACGCUGAAAAUGCUUUUUUUGCGUCCCUGAAGAAGAACGAACCACACCUUGCCUUUGAAUUGGAAAUGGAUUGACUGGAUUUCAGAUAUUAAAUGAUCUUUAUUAGCUAAAAUGUUUCAUUUUAAUUAGGCAUGUCAAAUUUAUGUCAUAUAUAAUUUUACUUGUAUAAUUCUGUCUUGAUCAAAUAUAUGAAUAAAAAUGAAAGCAUUACAAUU